CCUACGGGUGGCAGCAGUGAGGAAUAUUGGUCAAUGGACGAGAGUCUGAACCAGCCAAGUAGCGUGAAGGAUGACUGCCCUAUGGGUUGUAAACUUCUUUUAUAUGGGAAUAAAAUGUUCCACGUGUGGGAUUUUGUAUGUACCAUAUGAAUAAGGAUCGGCUAACUCCGUGCCAGCAGCCGCGGUAAUACGGAGGAUCCGAGCGUUAGCCGGAUUUAUUGGGUUUAAAGGGAGCGUAGGUGGAUUGUUAAGUUAGUUGUGAAAGUUUGCGGCUCAACCGUAAAAUUGCAGUUGAUACUGGCAGUCUUGAGUACAGUAGAGGUGGGCGGAAUUCGUGGUGUAGCGGUGAAAUGCUUAGAUAUCACGAAGAACUCCGAUUGCGAAGGCAGUUCACUGGACUGCAACUGACACUGAUGCUCGAAAGUGUGGGUAUCAAACAGGAUUAGAUACCCGUGUAGUC
RNAcentral lists this ribosomal RNA (460 nucleotides) under uncultured bacterium. Its description in RNAcentral is "partial 16S ribosomal RNA". It matches the Rfam family "Bacterial small subunit ribosomal RNA", at positions 338 to 795 of the family's 1533-position model. The record is from RNAcentral.